Molecule: non-coding RNA, 94 nt
Filed under: Luxibacter massiliensis
Lineage: Bacteria; Bacillati; Bacillota; Clostridia; Lachnospirales; Lachnospiraceae
Also listed under: 2 other names
Description: S10-Clostridia ribosomal protein leader
Rfam family: S10-Clostridia ribosomal protein leader
Source: RNAcentral
UGAUAGCGAUGAAGCGAGAGGUUGCUGUUUAGUGUAAAACAUAUGCUGGCAGGUUUUCCGUGGAGCGAAUGUCAAGUUAGGAAACUGGCGACAA